Molecule: ribosomal RNA, 320 nt
Filed under: uncultured Prevotella sp.
Lineage: Bacteria; Pseudomonadati; Bacteroidota; Bacteroidia; Bacteroidales; Prevotellaceae
Description: bacterial SSU rRNA
Rfam family: Bacterial small subunit ribosomal RNA
Source: RNAcentral
GAUGAACGCUAGCUACAGGCUUAACACAUGCAAGUCGAGGGGCAUCGAGGAGUUAGCUUGCUAAUUCUGUCGGCGACCGGCGCACGGGUGAGUAACGCGUAUCCAACCUGCCCAUGGCUAGGGAAUAGCCCGUUGAAAAGCGGAUUAAUGCCCUAUGGGGUCCUUUGCAGACAUCUAACGAGGACUAAAGGUUUACCGGCCAUGGAUGGGGAUGCGUCCGAUUAGGUAGUUGGCGGGGUAACGGCCCACCAAGCCCUCGAUCGGUAGGGGUUCUGAGAGGAAGGUCCCCCACAUUGGAACUGAGACACGGUCCAAACUCC